AACCGACACAGGUAGGCGAGGAGAGAAUCCUAAGGUGUGCGAGAGAACUCUCGUUAAGGAACUCGGCAAAAUGACCCCGUAACUUCGGGAGAAGGGGUGCUUUUUAGGGUGAAUAGCCCAGAAAAGCCGCAGUGAAUAGGCCCAGGCGACUGUUUAGCAAAAACACAGGUCUCUGCGAAGCCGCAAGGCGAAGUAUAGGGGCUGACACCUGCCCGGUGCUGGAAGGUUAAGGGGAGAGGUUAGCGCAAGCGAAGCUUUGAACCGAAGCCCCAGUAAACGGCGGCCGUAACUAUAACGGUCCUAAGGUAGCGAAAUUCCUUGUCGGGUAAGUUCCGACCCGCACGAAAGGUGUAACGAUCUGGGCACUGUCUCAACGAGAGACUCGGUGAAAUUAUAGUACCUGUGAAGAUGCAGGUUACCCGCGACAGGACGGAAAGACCCCGUGGAGCUUUACUGCAGCCUGAUAUUGAAUUUUGGUACAGCUUGUACAGGAUAGGUAGGAGCCUGAGAAGCCGGAGCGCCAGCUUCGGUGGAGGCGUUGGUGGGAUACUACCCUGGCUGUAUUGAAAUUCUAACCCGCGCCCCUUAUCGGGGUGGGAGACAGUGUCAGGUGGGCAGUUUGACUGGGGCGGU
This 633-nucleotide ribosomal RNA is filed under the name Peribacillus simplex. RNAcentral describes it as "bacterial LSU rRNA". It matches the Rfam family "Bacterial large subunit ribosomal RNA", at positions 1652 to 2283 of the family's 2925-position model. The record is from RNAcentral. Lineage: Bacteria; Bacillati; Bacillota; Bacilli; Caryophanales; Bacillaceae.